UUCCUCCUAGUUCAUGUCCUUCGUCUGUCUCUUGUCUUCGUUGUAAUCGCUCAAAAUGAAUUUGAUAUCGGCAUCAACUCCCUGGAACUUGAUUGUAGCUCGAUCAUAUACUCUGGCGGCAGCAUGGGCAGUGUCAAAUCCUCCUAAAUAUACUUGUUUCCCACAAUCCC
Long non-coding RNA from Hibiscus syriacus, 170 nucleotides. RefSeq lists it as uncharacterized. The transcript is spliced from 3 exons. The record is from RefSeq and is a predicted model, not a curated record. NCBI's taxonomy places the organism in Eukaryota, Viridiplantae, Streptophyta, Magnoliopsida, Malvales, Malvaceae.